RNAcentral lists this unclassified non-coding RNA (253 nucleotides) under Hevea brasiliensis (rubber tree). Lineage: Eukaryota; Viridiplantae; Streptophyta; Magnoliopsida; Malpighiales; Euphorbiaceae. The record is from RNAcentral.
UGUCAAGAGAAAUCAAAGUUCUUGCUCAAAGAAAUGAAGUUGCCCAAUGGCCUCUUGCCAUUGGAGGACAUGCUUGAGUGUGGGUAUGUCAAAGAGACUGGCUUUGUGUGGCUCAAACAGAAGAAGAAGACUGAGCACAAAUUUGAGAAAAUUGGCAAACCAGUCACUUAUGCAACUGAGGUCACAGCUGUUGUUGAGCCAAAUAAGAUCAAGAAACUGACAGGUGUCAAGACCAAGGAGCUCAUGAUUUGGG